AAUGAGCCGAAGCCAGUAAUGAUCUA
RNAcentral lists this non-coding RNA (26 nucleotides) under Rattus norvegicus (Norway rat). The record is from RNAcentral. Lineage: Eukaryota; Metazoa; Chordata; Mammalia; Rodentia; Muridae.